This 830-nucleotide long non-coding RNA is filed under the name Fragaria vesca (wild strawberry). RNAcentral describes it as "long non-coding RNA (FVES_LNC004700)". Lineage: Eukaryota; Viridiplantae; Streptophyta; Magnoliopsida; Rosales; Rosaceae. The record is from RNAcentral.
UUCCGGUGAACCUUGCCGAAAAACUCAUAAUAUGUUCAUAACUUCAAAUGAUCAUAUCUCACUCAUUUCUUAUCCGUUUUCAAUGAUCUUUAUAUCAAAACGAAGCUUAUAACCUGAACUUUAAAUCUGGAGAAUAUCAAAAAUAAUAGUUGAAAAUUUCUGAACGUAAUAAUUUAUGCAAUUAAGGUUAAUUAAAUAUAAUCACUUUAUGUACUUCUUUGGAAUAUCAUCAUUUCUGGACUUGAACAAUAUGGACUUGUUGACAUGAACCUUACCACUAAAUUCCUUGUUAAAAACUUUCACAGUGAUUUACUCACUUUGUUAAACUUGAGAUGGACAACUUCACACAUUUUGAAGUUUAAUGACUUUAAUCGGAGAAUUAUGGACAUGGUUGAUUAACCCCAUGAAAUUGGACUUAAGGACUGAAACUACUAUUAAUAAUAAUAUGGUUUAUUCAGUCAAUAAUAUGGUUUAUUUAAAGUCUGCAAAGUUAAUUACUCUUUCAUUGCUUGUGUUUUAUCAUUACUUACAUUUUAUUAUGAAUUCGAUUAUUUGCUUGUAAGCUUAAAUUAUUAAUUGUUUGCUACAUGAGUUUUCCCUUCUUGUGUAUCAUGUUUAUGCUACAUAUAUAUGCAUUCAUUAUGAAAUAUUCUUAAGUAUAUAUGUAUAUAUGUGUAUUUAUGUAUUUGUGUACAUAUACAUAUGAUACGAUCUAUAGCUCAUAAAGAUUGUAUUUGUGAAUUUGAUUAUGUUUGAGAAGUUAUGGAGCCGGGUGAAUGGUACUACCCCCGUGCUCAAGUGAAUUACUGGUAAAGUGUUUUAUGUGGAAG